CAGCGCUUUACAGUGGGUGGACGAACAAACAUGUAGUUGUAACCAGACAAGUUAGAUACACAGUAACAGAGGGAUUGAGGGCCCUGCUCAAUGAGCUUACAUGCUAGAGGGAGUGGGAUAAAGUGACACAAAAGUUAAGGAUAGUAUUAGACUAAUGACAGUUGCAAGAGAGGAAUCAGUCGGGAGCUAUUAACAGUUUAAUUGAGAUGCUUUUAUGAAGAAGUGGGUUUUUGAUUAAUUUUUUUGAAGGAGUGGAGACUGGGUGAGCAUCUAACGGAGGAGGAAAGUGAAUUCCACAG
Molecule: non-coding RNA, 299 nt
Organism: Pelobates cultripes (western spadefoot toad)
Lineage: Eukaryota; Metazoa; Chordata; Amphibia; Anura; Pelobatidae
Source: the annotation of a GenBank genome assembly